GAUGAACGCUAGCGGGAGGCCUAACACAUGCAAGCCGAGCGGUAGAGUUCCUUCGGGAACUUGAGAGCGGCGUACGGGUGCGUAACACGUGUGCAACCUACCUUUAUCUGGGGGAUAGCCUUUCGAAAGGAAGAUUAAUACCCCAUAAUAUAUUGAAUGGCAUCAUUUAAUAUUGAAAACUCCGGUGGAUAGAGAUGGGCACGCGCAAGAUUAGAUAGUUGGUGAGGUAACGGCUCACCAAGUCUGUGAUCUUUAGGGGUCCUGAGAGGGAGAUCCCCCACACUGGUACUGAGACACGGACCAGACUCCUACGGGAGGCAGCAGUGAGGAAUAUUGGACAAUGGGUGAAAGCCUGAUCCAGCCAUCCCGCGUGAAGGAUGACGGUCCUAUGGAUUGUAAACUUCUUUUGUACAGGGAUAAACCUACCCUCGUGAGGGUAGCUGAAGGUACUGUACGAAUAAGCACCGGCUAACUCCGUG
This 479-nucleotide ribosomal RNA is filed under the name uncultured organism. Its description in RNAcentral is "bacterial SSU rRNA". It matches the Rfam family "Bacterial small subunit ribosomal RNA", at positions 28 to 507 of the family's 1533-position model. The record is from RNAcentral.